GGGCUUCGGCCUGGUGGCGAGUGGCGAACGGGUGAGUAAUGCGUCGGAACGUGCCGAGUAAUGGGGGAUAACGCAUCGAAAGGUGUGCUAAUACCGCAUACGCUCUGAGGAGGAAAGCGGGGGACCUUCGGGCCUCGCGUUAUUCGAGCGGCCGACGUCUGAUUAGCUAGUUGGUGGGGUAAAGGCUCACCAAGGUGACGAUCAGUAGCGGGUCUGAGAGGAUGAUCCGCCACACUGGGACUGAGACACGGCCCAGACUCCUACGGGAGGCAGCAGUGGGGAAUUUUGGACAAUGGGCGAAAGCCUGAUCCAGCCAUGCCGCGUGAGUGAAGAAGGCCUUCGGGUUGUAAAGCUCUUUUGUCCGGGAGGAAAUCCCGCAACCUAAUACGUUGCGGGGAUGACAGUACUGGAAGAAUAAGCACCGGCUAACUACGUGCCAGCAGCCGCGGUAAUACGUAGGGUGCAAGCGUUAAUCGGAAUUACUGGGCGUAAAGCGUGCGCAGGCGGUUUGAUAAGUCAGAUGUGAAAUCCCCGGGCUUAACCUGGGAACUGCGUUUGAAACUGUCAGGCUAGAGUACGUCAGAGGGGGGUGGAAUUCCACGUGUAGCAGUGAAAUGCGUAGAGAUGUGGAGGAACACCGAUGGCGA
Molecule: ribosomal RNA, 647 nt
Filed under: uncultured bacterium
Lineage: Bacteria
Description: bacterial SSU rRNA
Rfam family: Bacterial small subunit ribosomal RNA
Source: RNAcentral